This 515-nucleotide ribosomal RNA is filed under the name uncultured bacterium. Its description in RNAcentral is "bacterial SSU rRNA". It matches the Rfam family "Bacterial small subunit ribosomal RNA", at positions 791 to 1320 of the family's 1533-position model. The record is from RNAcentral.
UAGUCCACGCCCUAAACGAUGUAUACUCGACGUUUGGAUGAAUUUCUGGGCGUCCAAGGGAAACCAUUAAGUAUACCACCUGGGGAGUACGUUCGCAAGAAUGAAACUCAAAGGAAUUGACGGGGGUCCACACAAGCGGUGGAGCAUGUGGUUUAAUUCGAUGAUACGCGAGGAACCUUACCUGGGCUCGAACGCUAUUUGCCUUACAGUGAAAGCUGUAUUCUCUUCGGAGCGGAUAGUGAGGUGCUGCAUGGUUGUCGUCAGCUCGUGCCGUGAGGUGUUGGGUUAAGUCCCGCAACGAGCGCAACCCUUAUUUUUAGUUGCCUUUUGGAACUCUAAAAAGACUGCCGGUUAUAAACCGGAGGAAGGCGGGGAUGACGUCAAGUCAGCAUGCCCCUUACACCCUGGGCUACACACGUGCUACAAUGGAUGAGACAAUUAGAUGCAAGCUCGCGAGGGUUAGCUAAUCUAUAAACUCAUUCUAAGUUCGGAUUGUAGGCUGCAACUCGCCUGCA